RNAcentral lists this long non-coding RNA (204 nucleotides) under Vicia faba (fava bean). Lineage: Eukaryota; Viridiplantae; Streptophyta; Magnoliopsida; Fabales; Fabaceae. The record is from RNAcentral.
AUGACGAACUCCAACGAGUGUUCUGAGAUGAAGAUGUGUAGCAGAUUGAUGCGUAGAAAGGUGUUGAAGAUGCGCCGCCUCCUUGUGUUGCAGAGAAAGAUUGAUGCUGUUGUGAUUGAAGAAUAUUGGAUAUCCGAGAUGAGAUUGGAGAUGAAGAAUGAAGGGAUUGAUCUGGUUAUGUACAAGUAUGAAACACAUUUUUAG